This 1018-nucleotide long non-coding RNA is filed under the name Monodelphis domestica (gray short-tailed opossum). Its description in RNAcentral is "lncRNA (ENSMODG00000047442.1)". The record is from RNAcentral. Lineage: Eukaryota; Metazoa; Chordata; Mammalia; Didelphimorphia; Didelphidae.
GAGGGUUAGUGAGAAAACGUGGAGGUAUCCCUUGAGUAGGGUUGGAAAGCUGGAGAAAGGGGAGAGAGGAAGCAGAUUGGCAGCAACAGUGUGUCCUUACCCAUCUCUCUUAACAUAUUUGAGACCCAAUGGGAGAAUGAUCUUUUUCACUUUUUGCCCCCCCCCCCCCCACACACACAUAUUCGAUGUCUUUGGAAGGAACAAAAGAAAGCCAAAUGAAAGCUGAAUAUGGACUUGUGGAAAUUGCAGUGGAAUUGGAAUUGAAAGACCUGAAUUCAAAUCCCAAUUAUUUCCGUGACCUAGGGCAAGUUUCUUAAUUAUCUCUGUGUCUCAGUUUCCCCAUCUCUGACAUUCAAAGUUCUAUGGUCAUUUUCAACUCUGAUAUCCUAUGAUUCUGUGAAGCUCAAUUUCUAACAUUAUCUAAAUUCUCUUGCUUUUUAUUUGUAUUUUCUGUUCCUUGUUUCCUUGCAUUUCCUUGAAACCUGAAUUCUCUGGGUCAUGAAUAUGAAUGGAGAUUGUGUGUUGGAGAUCCUGGAAUAAUGUCAGACCCAUAGGGGAGCACCAGCUGAUAAGGAGACUGAUUAUGAAGAUAAAACUACAAAGAGUUGGACAGCAGAAAGAUGGAAAUAUCUCUGGCCUUGACCCAGUCAGGCUUUGGAAGAUGGAGUGCAAAUCUAGGACUCCUGGACAAGGAAUUGCAGUGCAUUACUGGAUAGAGUCCAGCCCCAUUUAGAAGGCAGGGAUUCCUUCAACCAGGGAUGAGCUGGAGCCAGCUUGAACAGGCUCUGGAGAGCAGAUUGUUAAAUUUUCAGUGUGAGCAUCUAUACCUCAAUCAUUGGCAAAUGCUACAAAUCUGGGAUUGUUUUGUACAUACAAGGUAUAGAGGUGUACAGGGCAUUCAAGGAGGACCAGCACUACUGGUGUGAGGACUUGCUGAUCCCUUUUCAGGGUUGUUCAUCCACCUUUGGUGUCCACCUGUCAUCCAACUCUCACCUGUGGCUCCAAGAAGCUGUAGUAU